RNAcentral lists this ribosomal RNA (118 nucleotides) under Mustela putorius furo (domestic ferret). Lineage: Eukaryota; Metazoa; Chordata; Mammalia; Carnivora; Mustelidae. The record is from RNAcentral.
GUCUACGGCCAUACCACCCUGAACGCGCCCGAUCUCGUCUGAUCUCGGAAGCUAAGCAGGGUCGGGCCUGGUUAGUACUUGGAUGGGAGAAUACUUAUGAAAGUAAUUGAGGAAGACA